Non-coding RNA from Lactuca sativa (garden lettuce), 996 nucleotides. The record is from RefSeq and is a predicted model, not a curated record. NCBI's taxonomy places the organism in Eukaryota, Viridiplantae, Streptophyta, Magnoliopsida, Asterales, Asteraceae.
UAAAGCAUUGUUUAAAGGUGGAUCAGUAGUCUACAUGUCAUUGCAUGUCAUUGCAUUCUCACUGUUACCUAUCAAAGUACUGAGGUAAAUAUUAUGAUUUUUUAUAUUAAUUUUCUUACUUUCUAAAAUUAUUAGUGUUUUUUUUCUGAGUUAUGAUUGAAAAAUAGUGAACUAGGGUAAAUUUUAUGAAUUAUGAUAUUAGUUUCUGAAAAUAUAUAAUUAGGGCAUCAUUAUGUCUUAUUGCCCCGGGCAACAUAUUUCUUUGGACCGGCCCUGGGUCCUUGCAUUGCAAUUGCCUAUUUAUCGGUUCUAAAGGACUGUGAGAUUCAUUGCUUUCUUGAAGGAUUGGAAGUCAAACGACUUGGUGGUCUCCAUGUCAUUGGGACAUCUUUGCAUGAGUCCCGAAGAAUUGAUAAUCAGCUUCGUGGCAGAGCAGGAAGGCAAGGAGAUCCUGGAUCAACACGCUUCAUGGUCAGGUAAGUUCAUUUAAAUGAUUUUUAUAAAGUUUAAAGUCAAUCCUUUCAUCUGGACAAAAUUCUUCAUGUUAAAUUACGUAAUAGUCCUUGGAGUAGUUGACAUGAACAAUUUUUUUUUUGUUAGAAUGAUUCCAUAUAUAUGUGCAAGCAAGCACAUGCCUUGUGAAAAAGGGAAAUCUAUUCUAGUCAUUCUCUUUAACAAGGCAACCUUAAAGUUGAUUUUUUAAACCUGAUGUUUAAAACUACAUUGAGUGUGAGAUAGAAGUUUAUGCAGAGAAGGAAAAAGAUAGAAGUUUUUGAGGAUGUUGCUGAUGAAAAAGAUAGAGGUUCUUUAGGAUGCUGCUAAUGAAGUUUAUGCAGAGAAGGAAAAAGAUAGAAGUUUGUUGGCACAUAGUAAGCUAGAUAAUUAAUGCAAUUGUAUAUAAAUGAGUUCAUUUUUUUUAUAACAUUUACUCACUAUUGGAAUAAUUAUUUGUAUUUGACAUAUUAGUGAAAUGAAUUAUAUUUGUUAUUUAUGGUA